This 1340-nucleotide long non-coding RNA is filed under the name Cyanistes caeruleus (blue tit). RNAcentral's name for it is "lncRNA (ENSCCEG00000005065.1)". The record is from RNAcentral. Lineage: Eukaryota; Metazoa; Chordata; Aves; Passeriformes; Paridae.
GCCGGAGGGCGAGAAGAGCCUUCGGCCGCCGCUGGGCUCCAGCUGGGGAGACGCGGCAGGAAACUGCAAGUUAAAUUAAAAUCUGAGGACGGGCGGGGAGAGUUGAUGAAGUGAUCUAAACACAAAAAGCUGAGUGCGCUGGACGUUUUGUAUCUCCAGUUAUAAUUGGAGUUGGGUCUAGAAAGACUCCCUCUGAAAAAUGUUUGAGGAGCAGAUGUAAUUUAGUAGCAUUACAAUGCCAAAGAAAUAUGACACCCUUCACUGUCUUCCUAGAGAGACAAAGGUCUUUUUAGCUUUAUUUUCCCAUUUUCUUACCUUGUCCCCACAACAAAGCCUAUUUGUAACUUCAUCCCAUAAGACAUCUUUAUGCAAACUGUCGCUAAAAUCAAACACGGUAGAGUUAAACAAUACCAGACAUUGCAGUACACACUGUACAGCAAACACGUGGUCGAGUCCUGAAGCCUUACUCAGGCAAAACUUCCAUGGACUUCAGAAGAAAUCUGAUGAAACUAAAGAGAAAAUUAACAUCAAUUUACAUUCUGAAGCAUUUGUAAUGGAGAGGAUUUUCCUGCCUUACAAGACCAACACACAAAAACCUGUAAUGGGAAGGAGCUGAGAGGAAAGGAGAGAUGUUGUGGGUAGAGGGGACCAGAAGUCCUGGCUCACAGAUCAAGAAAAAUGGCAUGGUGGAGUCAGGACUGAAAAAAAUGCCAAGCCACAAAUAGCUAUAUAGACUAGUGAGAUUCCUUAAGAUACUUAGUUAAAGCAAACAAGGGAAUAUAUUCAGCCAGGAGCAAGAAACAGAAGAGAGUCCUAGAGAACCAGAAGACAGGGUAGAGACUCCAGACCAAAAAACUCCAGCAACUCCAACUGGAAGGUGCCUCGCUGAAGCCAAGAUACUUGCAAUUGUUUGCAAGUCCCGGUAUUAUUCAUUUUGGAAAGUCACUGCUACAGCAGAAACCCACCAUGAAUCAGAAUAGAAACUCAUGUGGAGAGAGCUCAAAUAGGCAACUGAAGCAAAGCCUGCUAGAGGAAUAAGCACACACACGCAGCCUCUGAGAAGCUAUGACAUCUUGUUCCAGUGAUGGCACAUGGUAUGCCACACCAAGAAUGCAGAGAAGCUCAGCCAAGCACACAAGGAACAUUAAAGGAAGAGAGGAGCCUCAGAAGCAGUUAUUAGGAAAGUAAUAAUGGAACACAAAGUACAAGAGCAAGAAUGAGUGUAACUAGGGGACCAUGGGAGCAGCUCACCAAAUGAGAAAACUCUAAUUAGCAAAUAGGCCAAGCUGCCAAGAGAGAAGCACAAUAAAUUUCCAUGUUAAAAAGGGUCUCUGGAGCCU